UGUAAAAUCUUAGUGGCGGACGGGUGAGUAACGCGUGGGUAACCUGCCUUACACUGGGGGAUAACACUUAGAAAUAGGUGCUAAUACCGCAUAAGCGCACGAAGCCGCAUGGAUUUGUGUGAAAAACUCCGGUGGCGUAAGAUGGACCCGCGUCUGAUUAGCUUGUUGGCGGGGUAACGGCCCACCAAGGCGACGAUCAGUAGCCGGCCUGAGAGGGUGGACGGCCACAUUGGGACUGAGACACGGCCCAAACUCCUACGGAAGGCAGCAG
This 271-nucleotide ribosomal RNA is filed under the name uncultured bacterium. RNAcentral's name for it is "partial 16S ribosomal RNA". It matches the Rfam family "Bacterial small subunit ribosomal RNA", at positions 83 to 354 of the family's 1533-position model. The record is from RNAcentral.